RNAcentral lists this ribosomal RNA (453 nucleotides) under uncultured bacterium. RNAcentral describes it as "bacterial SSU rRNA". It matches the Rfam family "Bacterial small subunit ribosomal RNA", at positions 43 to 524 of the family's 1533-position model. The record is from RNAcentral.
CAGGCCUAACACAUGCAAGUCGAGCGGCAGCGCGAGUAGUUUACUACUUGGCGGCGAGCGGCGGACGGCUGAGUAACGCGUGGGAACAUACCCCAAAGUGAGGAAUAACCGCCCGAAAGGGUGGCUAAUGCCGCAUAUGAUCUUCGGAUUAAAGGAUUUAUCCGCUUUGGGAAUGGCCUGCGUACGAUUAGGUAGUUGGUGAGGUAAUGGCUCACCAAGUCGACGAUCGUUAGCUGGUCUGAGAGGAUGACCAGCCAGACUGGAACUGAGACACGGUCCAGACUCCUACGGGAGGCAGCAGUGAGGAAUCCUCCACAAUGGGCGAAAGCCUGAUGGAGCAACGCCGCGUGCAGGAUGAAGGCCUUCGGGUCGUAAAGCUCUUUUAGCAAGGAAGAUAAUGACGUUACUUGCAGAAAAAGCCCCGGCUAACUCCGUGCCAGCAGCCGCGGUAAU